This 1408-nucleotide long non-coding RNA is filed under the name Pan troglodytes (chimpanzee). Its description in RNAcentral is "lincRNA". Lineage: Eukaryota; Metazoa; Chordata; Mammalia; Primates; Hominidae. The record is from RNAcentral.
AUCUUAAGAGGCGUUCCUUUUUGCAUAGUUCCCAUGAGCAUGAGAGAAGAAGCAAUGCAUGCUCCGGCAGAUUCCUAGGAACCAAAUACCUCUGAGGAGCACCAGAUUUCAGCUUAUGGGAAUCUUUGAUUGCUCUGUGGCUGCAUUUAGGAGAAGGAAGCUGCAGUCAUGCGUCAUCACUGCCAGCCUCACAUCUCUUGACAGUUAAAAGCCUUAGGGUGGAGAAAGGGAAAAUUUAAAAUAACAAAUGAAGCAAAAGCAAGAGGUGAUGUUCCCAAGCAGAGGAAGGCUAAGUUUAUAUAUACAAAUGUCAAGUGUGUAUAGUGCAAAACUAGGACCAGUUGGUGGAAUCUGUGGUCAAAAACAAAAGCCUUCCUUUUUUUUUUUUCAAGGCCCAGUCCCAAGAAGCAAGACCACUUGCGCCAGCAGCGUGCAUCAGCAAGAUAGCAAAAGCAGGACGAGAGCUGCCCGGAAGACAUCUACCUGGCCAGAAGACACCUACCCUGGCCGGAAGACAUGUACCCCUGAAGAUAGAGAAAGAGGCCAUCCGUGUACUACGUAGCAGUCAUGUCAGACUGGGACACUUCCUGUUUACAGAGGACUAUAAAACCCCUGUCCUGUCCUCACUUGGGGCUGACGCCAUCUUAGGCCUCAGCCCGCCUGCAGCCAGGCGUUCGUUAAAACAGCAUGUUGCUCCACACCGCCUUGUAUUGUUUGUUGGUCCCACUCUCUGGGCUCGAACCAAUACAAGCACCUUUCAAGCAGUAUAUUCUUCAGUGUCUUGAUCCUCCAAAUAACUCUCUUCUAAUUCCUCCUGACCACAAAAAGCACUUAUACUCUAGGAUGACUGAUUCCAGCCCAGUGGCCUGGCAAGGGUGAAUUACACCUUGCAUAUCACACUCUUGACAUUUGUGUGUGCUAGCAUAAGAAUUAUAAUUGAAACAGGGAUUUAAGUAUCUCCUCUCUAGGUGCCUACCCUCCUUGGACUCAGGUCAAAUUUAUUAAAGGAAGUUUUGUUUCUAGAUAGGUUGUUUGAAAUAAAAUAACAGAAUGUUCAAGUAACACAGUGUACCUACAGCUUUUAACAAAAUUGAGGACUUGGGUCUCGAAACAAUUUCCUUUGAUUUUCAGGUAUUUUAUCUAUAAAAAGGGAGAUAAAGCAUUAGUUCAUAGGAUAGUUAUAUGUUUAAAUGUGAUAAUGUAUAUUAACCACCUUGCAUGUACUCAAAUGUGUUUUGAAAUCUAACGUCUACAUUUUGAUAGUUUAACUGUUCUACCUAAGUGACUUACAACAGGCAUUAAAUAUUGUUUGGCAUUUUCAUAUAUCUGUAUCUGUAUCUUAAUCUACAAUGAGCUUAAUUUUAAGUGUAGCAUAAAACAGAACCUUCAAUAAAGUGGUAAUAUUAGG